GCGUUCAUAGCUCAGUUGGUUAGAGCACCACCUUGACAUGGUGGGGGUCGUUGGUUCGAGUCCAAUUGAACGCAACA
Molecule: transfer RNA, 77 nt
Filed under: Salmonella enterica
Lineage: Bacteria; Pseudomonadati; Pseudomonadota; Gammaproteobacteria; Enterobacterales; Enterobacteriaceae
Description: tRNA-Val
Rfam family: tRNA
About the family: Transfer RNA (tRNA) molecules are approximately 80 nucleotides in length. Their secondary structure includes four short double-helical elements and three loops (D, anti-codon, and T loops).
Source: RNAcentral